Molecule: ribosomal RNA, 253 nt
Filed under: uncultured bacterium
Lineage: Bacteria
Description: partial 16S ribosomal RNA
Rfam family: Bacterial small subunit ribosomal RNA
Source: RNAcentral
UACGAAGGGGGCGAGCGUUUUUCGGAUUUACUGGGCGUAAAGGGCGCGCUGGCGGCUUAUUUUGUCAGGCGUGAAAGCCCCGGGCUUAACCUGGGAACUGCGUUUGAUACGGAUGGGCUAGAGUUCGGGAGAGGAGAGUGGAAUUCCCAGUGUAGAGGUGAAAUUCGUAGAUAUUGGGAAGAACACCGGUGGCGAAGGCGGCUCUCUGGAUCGAUACUGACGCUGAGGCGCGAAAGCGUGGGGAGCAAACAGG